RNAcentral lists this long non-coding RNA (250 nucleotides) under Setaria italica (foxtail millet). RNAcentral's name for it is "long non-coding RNA (SITA_LNC006621)". Lineage: Eukaryota; Viridiplantae; Streptophyta; Magnoliopsida; Poales; Poaceae. The record is from RNAcentral.
AUAAACAUGCAACAGCCGAACUGCGUCUCAAAAGCCCCCUCCUCAUCAUCAAACUCAACCCUCUUCUUUUAAAUAUCAAGCUCGAAGAGCCUCGCAAAACCAUCAACAUCAAUCAUGCCUCCAAAUGUGCGCUCGAUCCAGUGAAACUUAGAAAGCGUCACGAAGGCAUUAGGUGUAAGCUGAUGAAGAUUAGCACCAUAUCUAUCCAAAAUCUGAGGCAACAUCUUAUCACAAGGAAACCGCAUGCCGG